This 236-nucleotide unclassified non-coding RNA is filed under the name Hevea brasiliensis (rubber tree). Lineage: Eukaryota; Viridiplantae; Streptophyta; Magnoliopsida; Malpighiales; Euphorbiaceae. The record is from RNAcentral.
GACCGUUUCCCUUUCCUAUUUCCAUCGCAUGUUCUCUGAGCUCCGGCUCCAUUAACGGAGCCUAGCUCAUUCCCCAUACUCCAAUUCUUCCUUCAGAUCCUCUCUUUUCCCUCUAUUUCAAUUCUUGCGAUUUGUGGAUCUCGAGCUUAACCCAAACCAAACGACACAGAAAAUGUCAAAACCCUGGGGCGGAAUCGGAGCCUGGGCUGCUGAUGCCGAGCGUGCCGAGGCUGAGG